CAGCAGCCGCGGGAAUACAGAGGGUGCGAGCGUUAAUCGGAUUUACUGGGCGUAAAGCGUGCGUAGGCGGCUAAUUGAGUCGGAUGUGAAAUCCCCGAGCUUAACUUGGGAAUUGCAUUCGAUACUGGUUAGCUAGAGUGUGGGAGAGGAUGGUAGAAUUCCAGGUGUAGCGGUGAAAUGCGUAGAGAUCUGGAGGAAUACCGAUGGCGAAGGCAGCCAUCUGGCCUAACACUGACGCUGAGGUACGAAAGCAUGGGGAGCAAACAGGAUUAGAUACCCGAGUAGUCCCUGUCUCUUAUAU
This 301-nucleotide ribosomal RNA is filed under the name uncultured bacterium. Its description in RNAcentral is "partial 16S ribosomal RNA". It matches the Rfam family "Bacterial small subunit ribosomal RNA", at positions 509 to 809 of the family's 1533-position model. The record is from RNAcentral.